Cyanistes caeruleus (blue tit) is the source of this 1709-nucleotide non-coding RNA. Lineage: Eukaryota; Metazoa; Chordata; Aves; Passeriformes; Paridae. The record is from RefSeq and is a predicted model, not a curated record.
CACGCCGUCUGCGGGACACUUAAGACAAAGUGUCCUCCGGCUCAUCCCCAGCUGGGUUUUUGCUUGCUUUACUGCUUGCUGAAUUAAUAAAAAUUUGCUUUCAUUAAUUAUUAUAUAAAUUGACCCUUCUAUUUUGUCACGACAAUUUAUAACACUCCCCUCAGCACUCGCUGUGCUGCCUAGCACCCAGCAUCCGACACAGAUUAACCAGCGCUCUCCAGCUGCGACGCUGCCGCACCGGGGCUGCUCCCACUCCACGCCUGGGGAAUUCCACAACGCGGGGCUUGGGCCACACGGGCCAGAGGCACCUUCCCUCCAGCCGGCGACAGCGACAGACACAGCUCUGCUAAGACCACAUGGCCACUGCCGGAAAAGUUAUCAGGUGCAGGGCUGCUGUUGCCUGGGCCCCCAGCAAACCUCUCUCUGUUGAGGAGGUGGAAGUUGCACCUCCAAAGGCAGGGGAAGUCCGGAUCAAGAUUGUGGCCACAGGCAUCUGUCAUACAGAUGAUCACGGUUUGAGAGGUUCCUUUCCUAAUGUAGAUUUCCCAGUUAUACCAGGCCAUGAAGGAGCCGGGAUUGUGGAAAGCAUUGGAGAAGGAGUGACCUCUGUGAAACCAGGGGACAAAGUGAUCCCACUUGCCAUCCCUCGGUGUGGGGAAUGCAGCUUCUGCCGCAAUCCUGACUCCAACUACUGCCAGAAGUUCCAUUUCUCUGAACCACAAAACCUGCUGCCAGACAAGACCAGCCGCUUCUCUUGCAAAGGGAAGCAGAUCCACCACUUCAUGUGGAUCAGCACCUUUGCCGAAUACACCGUGGUCCCAGAGUACGCCGUUGCCAAGAUCGAUGCUGCGGCACCUCUGGACAAAAUCUGCUUGUUUGGCUGUGGGUUUUCCACUGGCUAUGGGGCUGCCAUCAACACAGCCAAGGUAAAACCAGGCUCCACCUGUGCCAUCUUUGGCCUCGGAGGAGUUGGCCUCUCCGUCGUCAUGGGCUGCAAGGCAGCUGGAGCUUCCCGCAUCAUUGCCGUGGACAUCAACAGCGACAAGUUCUCCAAGGCCAAGGAGCUGGGAGCCACCGACUGCAUCAACCCCCGAGACUUGAGGAAGCCCGUCCAGGAGGUGCUCACCGAGAUGACCGGGCAGGGCGUGGACUACUCCUUUGAGGCCAUCGGGCUCGCAGACACCAUGAUUGCUGCCUUGGCUUCCUGCAAUAUGAAUACCGGUGUCUGUGUGAUGAUUGGGGAACUGGAUUCUGGUUUAAAAAUUUCCAUCGAUCCCAUGCUUCUGGUGACUGGGCGUACCUGGAAAGGGACUAUUUUUGGAGGCUGGAAAUCAAGGGAAUGUAUCCCCAAAUUAGUUUCCAGCUAUUUGGAGAAGAAAUUCAAUUCAGACUUGCUGAUCACACACACGCUGCCAUUCGCUGAAGUGAACAAGGGAUUUGAGUUGUUACGUGCUGGAAAAAGUAUCCGCACUGUCCUGCUCUUCUGAAGGACACAGCCAAGGAAGCCCAGCAGAGGGACCAGCACAGCAGAUGCUCUCCUGGCCCUGGCACCUUCUCAAGCAGCACCUCCUUGUGGGGCACAAGGAGAAGAGAACAAGGAAUUCACCUGUGCUGGUGCCACUGCUGCUCCUGCUGUGCCUGGACAGGACAUAGAAGGAUGUCUCUCCCAAGAAAAUGCUUUUACUAAUAAAGAUUUUUUGUCAAACUCA